RNAcentral lists this unclassified non-coding RNA (304 nucleotides) under Hevea brasiliensis (rubber tree). Lineage: Eukaryota; Viridiplantae; Streptophyta; Magnoliopsida; Malpighiales; Euphorbiaceae. The record is from RNAcentral.
AAGAAUUUCAUAUAAUUAAUUGACAUUCAAAUGGUAGGAACGUACCAGCGUGAGGCCAGUGAGCGUCUCUUCACUGAUGAACAAACCCUCAAAUUUUACACCAAAGUUUUCUCUUUCUUAUUUUUACAAUAAUGGUUGGUAGCUUUGUCAGUCAGCAAGCAAAACCCAGGAAUUGUCAGCCGGGUGAUUCGCUGUGAAUCUACAGUAGAAAGCAGUAAUACACUUAGAUCUUAAAAAAUGAAAGACUAUCUUUUUCUCUGACCCUAAAUUAAAUAACUUCCUGAAAAGUAGAAUUUCUAAGAAG